CCUGGACAAAUCAAGUGUUUCAGAUUCGUGAGGGAGGGUGAACGACAUAACAUGAUUGAUUUAAUCAGAGUGGGGAGGAGGGUGAACGAUAUAACAUGAUUGAUUUAAUCAGUGGGGAAAGGAAAAAGAUGCGGACCGAGAGAGUUGACAGGUGAAACAGGGGUCCUGAAGAACAGAACGGAAGUCACAAUGACCACCACUCGCUUGACGCAGUUGCCCACUGAGUGGGUGACUGGGGACACCCUAGCGAGGAUCAUGUAUGACACCUUCAACAAAAUAAGCAGAACAAGAUCAGUCAGUAAAUUCCAAACUGUGAAUGCUCUGACACCAUGUAUACACAUGGAAUGGAAUUUGUACAUGCAUAUCAAACAAUCUGAAUUCAGCACCAAUGGUGUAAUUUAAGGAACAAAUAAUUCCAAUAAUUUCAACAAGAUGAGUCAUCAGACAGCUGAAUAGAUGGCUGACCUGUUGGUAGGCAUGGAAGCAGAAUGCAGCAAUCAGGGAUCUGGUGUAUAUCUGUUUUAAGUUCAAGCCCUGCACAAGAAAGAUAUUUUUUUCUCCAGAAAUUUAGAAUUGUCCUCAAGCCAGUCUGCAAGGUGUCAUGGAUAAAUAAACAACAGGAUACUCACAGCAGACUGCAACACUGCAGGACUGACUUUGACACCCUCUGUUAGUAAGGUGACUGGGGCCAAGAGGCAGAAUGACAUGACUGUAAUGAUAGAGAAGAGGUUAAUGUUGUCC
RNAcentral lists this long non-coding RNA (741 nucleotides) under Setaria viridis. Its description in RNAcentral is "long non-coding RNA (SVIR_LNC001976)". Lineage: Eukaryota; Viridiplantae; Streptophyta; Magnoliopsida; Poales; Poaceae. The record is from RNAcentral.